This 605-nucleotide ribosomal RNA is filed under the name Saccharomyces cerevisiae (brewer's yeast). RNAcentral describes it as "eukaryotic LSU rRNA". It matches the Rfam family "Eukaryotic large subunit ribosomal RNA", at positions 38 to 657 of the family's 3401-position model. Lineage: Eukaryota; Fungi; Ascomycota; Saccharomycetes; Saccharomycetales; Saccharomycetaceae. The record is from RNAcentral.
GCAUAUCAAUAAGCGGAGGAAAAGAAACCAACCGGGAUUGCCUUAGUAACGGCGAGUGAAGCGGCAAAAGCUCAAAUUUGAAAUCUGGUACCUUCGGUGCCCGAGUUGUAAUUUGGAGAGGGCAACUUUGGGGCCGUUCCUUGUCUAUGUUCCUUGGAACAGGACGUCAUAGAGGGUGAGAAUCCCGUGUGGCGAGGAGUGCGGUUCUUUGUAAAGUGCCUUCGAAGAGUCGAGUUGUUUGGGAAUGCAGCUCUAAGUGGGUGGUAAAUUCCAUCUAAAGCUAAAUAUUGGCGAGAGACCGAUAGCGAACAAGUACAGUGAUGGAAAGAUGAAAAGAACUUUGAAAAGAGAGUGAAAAAGUACGUGAAAUUGUUGAAAGGGAAGGGCAUUUGAUCAGACAUGGUGUUUUGUGCCCUCUGCUCCUUGUGGGUAGGGGAAUCUCGCAUUUCACUGGGCCAGCAUCAGUUUUGGUGGCAGGAUAAAUCCAUAGGAAUGUAGCUUGCCUCGGUAAGUAUUAUAGCCUGUGGGAAUACUGCCAGCUGGGACUGAGGACUGCGACGUAAGUCAAGGAUGCUGGCAUAAUGGUUAUAUGCCGCCCGUCUUGA